Molecule: ribosomal RNA, 254 nt
Filed under: uncultured bacterium
Lineage: Bacteria
Description: partial 16S ribosomal RNA
Rfam family: Bacterial small subunit ribosomal RNA
Source: RNAcentral
UACGUAGGGGCCAAGCGUUGUCCGGAUUUAUUGGGCGUAAAGAGCUCGUAGGCGGUUCGGCAAGUCAGCUGUGAAAUCUCCACGCUCAACGUGGAGGGGUCAGCUGAUACUGCUGUGACUUGAGUCCGGUAGGGGAGUGUGGAAUUCCCGGUGUAGUGGUGAAAUGCGUAGAUAUCGGGAGGAACACCAGUGGCGAAGGCGACUUCCUGGCCUGUUCUUGACGCUGAGGCGCGAAAGCUAGGGGAGCAAACGGG